AUUGAACGCUGGCGGCAGGCUUAACACAUGCAAGUCGAGCGGGGUGAUGUUGCUUGCACUAUCACUUAGCGGCGGACGGGUGAGUAAUGCUUAGGAAUCUGCCUAUUAGUGGGGGACAACAUCUCGAAAGGGAUGCUAAUACCGCAUACGUCCUACGGGAGAAAGCAGGGGAUCACUUGUGACCUUGCGCUAAUAGAUGAGCAUAAGGCGGAUUAGCUAGUUGGUGGGGUAAAGGCCUACCAAGGCGACGAUCUGUAGCGGGACUGAGAGGAUGAUCCGCCACACUGGGACUGAGACACGGCCCAGACUCCUACGGGAGGCAGCAGUGGGGAAUAUUGGACAAUGGGGGGAACCCUGAUCCAGCCAUGCCGCGUGUGUGAAGAAGGCCUUAUGGUUGUAAAGCACUUUAAGCGAGGAGGAGGCUCUUUUGGUUAAUACCCAAGAUGAGUGGACGUUACUCGCAGAAUAAGCACCGGCUAACUCUGUGCCAGCAGCCGCAGUAA
Molecule: ribosomal RNA, 503 nt
Filed under: uncultured bacterium
Lineage: Bacteria
Description: partial 16S ribosomal RNA
Rfam family: Bacterial small subunit ribosomal RNA
Source: RNAcentral